Myotis brandtii (Brandt's bat) is the source of this 634-nucleotide long non-coding RNA. RefSeq lists it as uncharacterized. Lineage: Eukaryota; Metazoa; Chordata; Mammalia; Chiroptera; Vespertilionidae. The record is from RefSeq and is a predicted model, not a curated record. The transcript is spliced from 4 exons.
AUUUCAUCUGCACAGAAAAAGAACUCUGGUAGCUUCUGCCUGACUUUCAGUAGGAAAUGCUCUAAAAACAAGCAACAGCUAUUUUGAGGACCGACUUUCUAAAAUUAUAUUCAGGAUUAAGCGGCUGUAACAUUGCCGUUCGCCGCGGAGGCUCCUGGUUUCAGCAUGUCUCCUUGGUUCCCGGCCAGCCUGGGUGUUCAGGUGGCAGCUGUGCCUGGGAGUGCCUCUCCAGCCCGCAUUCCUUGGCCAUGAAUUUUGCAGCCCUGCUUAUCUGAUGAAGACCUCCCCAGGAUGGCUUUCUCCAUGCCAUGGGGAACGUGGCUCCUAGUGAUCUUGCUUUUCCGUCUCAUCCUAUCAGCAAUUCUACCAGCAAUGAAUUGACUAUUUGUCUCUUUUUCUUUGGCUCCCGUCAGAGUUACUUGCAUUGGAUCAAUUAGAUCACAUACUUCUCCCCAAACCAAUCACCAAGUCAGGAAGAUGGGAGGCAUCUCUACUCUUUUCCAGCUUGCUAAGGACACAAUGGGGAGAUGAUGAGCCAGGAAGAUUGCUCUCAUUGGAACCCAAAUGCUGGCACCCUGAUCUUGGACGUCCAGUCACCUGAACUAUGAAAAAAUAAACUUCUGUUGUUUAAGCA